AGCUUAUAAGGUGAGGAUUGCCCAAGCCAUAAAAGGAGACCAAGGACCUCAAAUCCCUCCGAUGUGGGACAACUCAACAGUAAAUAUAAAUUUGAAACAAUAAGAAUGUUUCUUUUGAGGGCAUAAUUGAACUUUUCUCUUAAUAGGUUCCUUUUCCAACGAUUAUGUUUCUAUGCUUUUGUGUUGUAUAAAAUAAUCAACCUUACCAAAAAAGAGUAAAAAAGAACGCCCUGUGUGUCUAUGCAAAAGAAUCCAUGAAUUCUAGUAGGGUUUCACUAUCACCUAUCC
Molecule: long non-coding RNA, 288 nt
Filed under: Nicotiana benthamiana
Lineage: Eukaryota; Viridiplantae; Streptophyta; Magnoliopsida; Solanales; Solanaceae
Description: long non-coding RNA (NBEN_LNC019411)
Source: RNAcentral